UGGGGAAUUUUGGACAAUGGGCGCAAGCCUGAUCCAGCCAUUCCGCGUGCAGGAUGAAGGCCUUCGGGUUGUAAACUGCUUUUGUACGGAACGAAACGACCUUCUCUAAUACAGGGGGUUAAUGACGGUACCGUAAGAAUAAGCACCGGCUAACUACGUGCCAGCAGCCGCGGUAAUACGUAGGGUGCGAGCGUUAAUCGGAAUUACUGGGCGUAAAGCGUGCGCAGGCGGUGAUGUAAGACAGGUGUGAAAUCCCCGGGCUUAACCUGGGAACUGCACUUGUGACUGCAUUGCUGGAGUACGGCAGAGGGGGAUGGAAUUCCGCGUGUAGCAGUGAAAUGCGUAGAUAUGCGGAGGAACACCGAUGGCGAAGGCAAUCCCCUGGGCCUGUACUGACGCU
This 400-nucleotide ribosomal RNA is filed under the name uncultured bacterium. Its description in RNAcentral is "bacterial SSU rRNA". It matches the Rfam family "Bacterial small subunit ribosomal RNA", at positions 355 to 747 of the family's 1533-position model. The record is from RNAcentral.